Molecule: long non-coding RNA, 91 nt
Organism: Pipistrellus kuhlii (Kuhl's pipistrelle)
Lineage: Eukaryota; Metazoa; Chordata; Mammalia; Chiroptera; Vespertilionidae
Exons: 3
Source: RefSeq, a predicted model, not a curated record
GUAGAGGCAGUUUUGUGUAUGGUUGUUUUCUCUGAAGACUCUGUAAAAAUGUCAUGUUCUUUAAGUCUGUGUGAAAAGAUAGGAAGAGCAC